This 460-nucleotide ribosomal RNA is filed under the name uncultured bacterium. Its description in RNAcentral is "partial 16S ribosomal RNA". It matches the Rfam family "Bacterial small subunit ribosomal RNA", at positions 28 to 507 of the family's 1533-position model. The record is from RNAcentral.
GAUGAACGCUGGCGGCAUGCCUAACACAUGCAAGUCGAGCGGGUAGAGGUGUUUCCCGUGGCGAACGGGUGAGUGACGGGUAAGAACCUGCCAGGGGGAUGGGAACAACAACUGGAUACGGUUGCUAAUAGCCCGCAGACUGAGGAGCAGAAGUAAAAAUGAGCCCGAGGGAGCGCUCGCGUCUGAUCAGCUAGUUGGUGCGGGAAUGGCUUACCAAGGCGAUGAUGAGUAGCUGAACCGAGAGGAUGAUCGGAGACAGUGGAACUGGGACACGGCCCAGACUCCGACGGGGGGAAGGAGUAGGGACUUUUGGGCGAUAGGCGAGAGCAAUAUCCAGCAAUGCGGGAUGGGUGGAGAAGGUCAUGGGGUGGGAAAGUGGUAUGAGUAGGGAGGGAGAACUGUUUGUCUAGGCGUAGAAAUAUUGACGGUACCUGAGGAAUAAGCAUCGGCUAACUCCGUG